CGUCAGGGAAUAUCUUUUUUCAGCGGCUGACAGCGCCCGUCUGGGCGGAUCUCAGUACAAUGGUUCAGCACCACGGACAGAACUUUAUGUUCUGACUGCAAAAUUGGUCCUGGAAAAGACAGUUAAAGCACCUUUUAUCUCUUUUAAACAAGAAAUGAGAUGGUUCUCAGCUGUGAGAAGUUUUACUGGGUUGCUCUGAUCAGAUGACUAAAAGACAGGAUAAAGAAAAAAAGAACAGGGAGAAGGAAGGAAGGAAGGGAAGAAGUAAAGAGUGAGAGAAAGAAUAAAGGAACACACAUAAUGAAGGAUGAAAGGAUUUCUUGAGAAGAUGAAUUAGAACAUCUGCCUUAAGGUUCUAGACCAGUGUAUGUAACACAAUAAACGUUCAAGGAAUGGUUGCUAUGAUGAUGACGACGAUGAAGAUGACAGCAAUGAUGAUGAUGAAAUGAGUUGGCUUCAGUCCAGAGCAGAAUAUGUGCCCAAAUAAAGUAUGAGGAUAUCAGCAGAUGCCAUUGGUGUCCCACCCGAAGCUGCAAACUUACUUAAAGUUUAUCUGCAGCUUCAGAGGACCAUUUCCAUAAUGACUGAUGGCAUUUUACCCUGGGUAUGUACUUACAUCUUUUUACCUUAAUGAUUUUUUUCUAGCUAUGGGAAUGUGCUUGGCUGGUUGGGACAUCUUGGACUGCUAAGGACUUACCAUUCCUAGAAUCAACCUCAAUCAAUGAGGGAUUGAAUUGGUGGAUAAAAUCCCCAUCUUGCUCAUCUCUUCUAUGUGAUACUUCUGAGCUUUAUUUCAAACAGUCUUUCAGAGGGCUUCUCAGCGGGACAUACUGGUUUCCCACAAUGAUAACCCACUGAUAAAUACUUGCUUUAUUCCUUUUCUCACUUGCUCACUCCCUGGAAUCCUACCCUACAUACAGCACUUCACCCACAUCCUUAUUGCACUUUCUGCAACAAGCAAGGGAACACUGAAAGCAGGGAGGUAGUUGUACAGUUUUCCAGUUGGGGUAUCCAGUAGGAAACCAGAAGUUGUACAGAGGACUCCACAUAAAUGUGGGUCAGCUCAGCAUAACAGCAAGGAGGAGUGGGUGGGUGUAAUAUAUAUAUAGUUGUCCUCCUCAAGCCCCUCUCAUUUUUUUGUGUUCAGUAGACCCUAAGCUGAGAACCUGUGAAGCUGCCAUUGAAUGCACUGUGGAAGAAUGAAGGCACUAUCUAGAGAAGUUUAUAGCAGAACACUGGACCGGGGUAUAUAUGAGGCACAUAACAUAAACCCAGGAGCUUUUAGCCAGCAAAACCUAAGAAGAGUAGAUUUGGCAAGAGGAAUAUAGUUGCUUUUCACAAUAAGUAUUAUCCAAGU
Cercocebus atys (sooty mangabey) is the source of this 1357-nucleotide long non-coding RNA. RefSeq lists it as uncharacterized. The record is from RefSeq and is a predicted model, not a curated record. The transcript has 4 exons. NCBI's taxonomy places the organism in Eukaryota, Metazoa, Chordata, Mammalia, Primates, Cercopithecidae.